This 276-nucleotide ribosomal RNA is filed under the name Triticum aestivum (bread wheat). RNAcentral's name for it is "partial small subunit ribosomal RNA". Lineage: Eukaryota; Viridiplantae; Streptophyta; Magnoliopsida; Poales; Poaceae. The record is from RNAcentral.
CGCCUUAUUAUAAAUUCGGAUAAUUUGGAGGUGAUUGAUACUAUGAAUGGUGGAGGACAAUCGACGGAUGCAGCGGCAGCAAUCUUUGAUGACUGUUUUCAUUAUGCUUGUGAUUUCGUUAUUGCUAUAUUUGAGCAUUAUAAUAGGGAAGCAAAUAAAGUAGCUCAUGAGCUUGCUAGAUUAGCUAGAUUUUCUUUGACUUCUGAUUGGUUUGAGGAGCCUUUAAAUGAAAUUGUAAUGAUCCUCACAAAUGAUGUACUACUUACAAAUGAAUAA